AAUAGCAAAGCGGACAUAUCGGGAAAUCCGUAUCCUUAGACACUUCCGACAUGAGAACAUCAUUGCAAUUCGUGAAAUAUUAAACAUCAGAGGUUCGGUUACGGAUUUCAAGGAUGUUUACGUGGUGCUGGAUUUAAUGGAAAGUGAUCUUCACCAAAUUAUUCAUUCUAAGCAAACUUUUUCUGAAGAGCAUGUUAGAUAUUUUCUCUACCAACUUUUGCGAGGUUUAAAAUAUAUUCACUCUGCAAAUGUUAUACAUCGUGACCUAAAACCAAGCAACCUGCUUGUGAAUGGCAACUGUGAACUAAAGAUUGGAGAUUUUGGAAUGGCAAGGGGUGUUUCAUUUGCGCAGGACCAUAAGCGUCAGAUGCGGAUGACAAAUUAUGUUGCUACAAGGUGGUAUAGAGCUCCAGAACUCCUUUUUCCUAUGGAGCAUUAUGUAAAAUCAGUGGAUAUGUGGUCAGUUGGAUGCAUUUUGGCAGAGAUGAUUGGCCGGAAGCAGAUAUUCCCAGGAAAGAACCUUAUAGAUCAGCUAACCUUAGUAACUCAAGUACUCGGCCUUCCACCAGAUAGUAUGUUACAAUCUUGUCACAGCGAUCAGAUCUUCAAUUUCUUUCACAAAAAUUAUGGUCACAUGAAACCUAUUGACUGGAAAACCAAGUAUCCAACUGCUGAUUCGCAAGCUCUCAACCUGUUAUCAAAGAUGCUGAUGUACAAUCCAGAGGAGAGAGUGACAUCGUCUGAUGCUCUGAAGCACCCGUACUUGGCCAAGUAUCAUGAUCCACUUGAUGAACCCCUCUGUUUUCCACAAUUUGAUUUCUCUUUUGAGAAUGAGAAGAUGGACAAGGAACAAGUUCGUGGCAAAGUUAUUAAAAUAAUUGAGAAGUAUCAUAGACAUAAGAAAACGGCGUCAAAAGUGCCUUUGGGAUCUUUUAUGAAGCCCACUCAAAGGGUUUGUGGUUCUGUUUCCAACCAGAAAGGAAUAAUUAAUGUUUCACAACCAGGGCUAUUUAUACCACAUACUGUGGUAGAAAACCUACAAAAUACCAGAGAGACUUUAACUCAGUCUUUGGCACAAGGUGAAACUGAUAAACAAGCAUCUUCAGUUGAAGGUAAGGGAACAGGAACAAUUAACGCUCCACAGAUAAACAUCCAGAAUACCGCACAGGAUUCUGAACCUAUCAUUGUCAAUGGGGAAGAUUCAAAAAGAGGUUUGCUUGUUGCAACCCAGCAAAAUACUACAGAUGUGGAAAUGAAGAGUGCAUUGUCUGUGUGUGGCAGUGCUCAGAUUAGCAGCCAGGAAAUCACCUCAAAUGGUUCCCACAAGAAUUCUCUACUACCACAAGAGUCUUCAGAUGUUGUUAUGCGAAGUGCAUCACGAGAGGAUUCAAUUUCGGAGUUACCCCAGCAGCAAGUAGCUGACCUUCAGAAUCUUAAUGCCAAAGCAGUAUCUGGUGAUGUGGCCAUGAAGAGUGCGAAAGACAGUGGUGAUGUUUGCAUACCCAAGGUACAAGGCCCACAGAUAAAUACUGAGAACUCACAGAAAACCAUCUCGACAGAUACAAAAGCUCUCAUCAAGGCAGCUCUGUUGAAUGCAGCACAUCGAAACAAGAUGCAAGCUUCUAAAACAGAUUUAACAAAAACUGAUCCCAAGGCAGCACCAGUUGGAGGACGCAAGAUGUCAGUGAAAGCAUGGGAACGACAGAAGGAAAGAGAAGAGAAAAGAAAAAAUAAGUUAAAGAAAGCUACUGAAAGACAGAAGAAAAUGAAAGCUAAAAAUAAGCAACAAGAAAACCAGGGACUGUUCCUCACACAGGAAGACCGAGACAUGCUGGAGAGAUGGAACAAAAUGAGGGCGUCUGCACAGGAGAGUAAAGACACAGGAUCUGUAAGCAUCAAGCAAUGGAAGUCUGAACCAAACAUUCAAAACUCAAUCAAAUCAAAGAUGCAAGGCCAUCAGCCACAAGGCAAUACAAACUCUGUUAAGUCCUUAGUUAAUCCUUCAACAUCAGGCUUGCAAGGUACAGGAGGAUUUGGGAAUAAGGAUACAAAUGGGCCAGCAACGUUUGUUCUUGCAGGCCAGGGCCAGGCACAAUGUGGCCAACAAGUGCAGAUUAAACUCACCCAACCUACAACAUUUGUUAUUAAAAAUACAGCUAAUAUGGCACCAAAUAGUAGAGUGAAGGUUCGUCAAAAUCUUAAGCCUAUAGCACCCAAGCAAGAACACAAGCCGCAGUGUGCUAACAUCCAGAGCCAGAAUACACGUCAAGGAACAAAUCUUUUCAACCAGGUGCCUGUAGUGGCCUCUGAUGUCAAGCAACCAGCAUCCAGUCAAAACCUUCCAAAUAUUGACCAAGGACAAAUGCAUACAUUCUCUUCUACAGAUAUGCUCAAUGACAUGAAACCAUCUGCAGUACCUCCAAAUGAGGCACUAUCUCCACAUUACCAGAGUCCUGGUAGUUGUUCUCCUUCAUUUGCCCAGCAUGGCUCGCCACCAACUUAUGAGGAAGCAUUGGAAGCCAAGCAGAAGCCCCCUACAAAGAUGUCGCCACUGUUACGUGAUGAAUUUUUAAUGGCUAGUGAUUCUUUUGGCGCUUCCACAAAAGUGUCUGCUCCAGAUCUCUUCAAAAAUGUUGUUCCGCCAGCUGGGUUUUACAAGGACCCAAAUUCUCCUCCAGACAUUGCAUCUGUUACACACCAAUUAUCAAAGUCGGGUAUGAUCGAUGUUCUCCCUCCAUUACUACAACUAACACCAAGAGGUGAUGGAGCAGGGUACGGGUUGACUAUGGACUUAGAGGAACUACUCAAUCAGUCUCUUGAUAUGCAACCCCCUCUAUCGACUGGGUAAGUACAUUUGCAGGAAGUAUUUAAUAACUUGGGUUAAUCCAUAUUUGUGAUCAUUCUUACAAAAAAAGACAAAAUACACAAUAAUAAAUUAAUUGUUUUCUUAUUAUUAAAAAUGUACGCAUACUGUAUGUGUUCUAAGUAACAAUUUUGUAAUGGCUCCGAAAUUAUAAAUAAAACCAAUGUUAAUUAUUUAGGGUUGAAUCUGAUCAACACUUGAGUGGUAAGAACACUGCCUUUAAAGUAAUAAGAAAGGUUAAUAGUGGAAUAAAAUUUUGUAUAGUUUCAGUAUUUUGAAGCUCCUGGCCUCAACACUUAUUCGUAGUCAUUAUGACUAGGGUUGUAGUAUGGUAUUCUGGUUUAAAAGAAGCCGUGAAAAAUUAAUGUCAGAUUGCUCAGAAUACAGUAAGCUCAUACAGUACUUUCGUACAGUUUUAGGGACUACAGUGAAAAUAAAUCAGCCAUUUGCCUACUUUAUUGUAUUUUUCAUCCCAGAAUUCUGUUACUGGUCUUUUUUGUAUAUGUAUUGUUGUGGCUAUAUGAAUUCUAAAUAAUAAAAGAAAAGAAAAAAAAACAUUAAAUUGAAACCUACUGUACAGUUAUAGUUCAGUAAUACAAAGUCAGCAAUUCAAAUUACCAUCAUUGCUAUCAUUUACUGUACUGUAU
RNAcentral lists this unclassified non-coding RNA (3510 nucleotides) under Anneissia japonica. RNAcentral describes it as "mitogen-activated protein kinase 7-like, transcript variant X2". Lineage: Eukaryota; Metazoa; Echinodermata; Crinoidea; Comatulida; Comatulidae. The record is from RNAcentral.